GCUUCCGUAGUGCAGCGGCAGCACGUUAGGCUCAUAAUCUAAAGGUCCUUGGUUCGAAACCAUCCGGGGGCACCA
RNAcentral lists this transfer RNA (75 nucleotides) under Saccharomyces cerevisiae (brewer's yeast). RNAcentral's name for it is "P-tRNA from Saccharomyces cerevisiae (PDB 6R7Q, chain 2)". It matches the Rfam family "tRNA". Rfam says of the family: Transfer RNA (tRNA) molecules are approximately 80 nucleotides in length. Their secondary structure includes four short double-helical elements and three loops (D, anti-codon, and T loops). Further hydrogen bonds mediate the characteristic L-shaped molecular structure. tRNAs have two regions of fundamental functional importance: the anti-codon, which is responsible for specific mRNA codon recognition, and the 3' end, to which the tRNAs corresponding amino acid is attached (by aminoacyl-tRNA synthetases). tRNAs cope with the degeneracy of the genetic code in two manners: having more than one tRNA (with a specific anti-codon) for a particular amino acid; and 'wobble' base-pairing, i.e. permitting non-standard base-pairing at the 3rd anti-codon position. Lineage: Eukaryota; Fungi; Ascomycota; Saccharomycetes; Saccharomycetales; Saccharomycetaceae. The record is from RNAcentral.